AGUGAACGCUGGCGGUAGGCCUAACACAUGCAAGUCGAACGGCAGCACAGUAAGAGCUUGCUCUUACGGGUGGCGAGUGGCGGACGGGUGAGGAAUACAUCGGAAUCUACUUUUUCGUGGGGGAUAACGUAGGGAAACUUACGCUAAUACCGCAUACGACCUACGGGUGAAAGCAGGGGAUCUUCGGACCUUGCGCGAUUGAAUGAGCCGAUGUCGGAUUAGCUAGUUGGCGGGGUAAAGGCCCACCAAGGCGACGAUCCGUAGCUGGUCUGAGAGGCUGAUCAGCCACACUGGAACUGAGACACGGUCCAGACUCCUACGGGAGGCAGCAGUGGGGAAUAGUGGACAAUGGGCGCAAGCCUGAUCCAGCCAUACCGCGUGGGUGAAGAAGGCCUUCGGGUUGUAAAGCCCUUUUGUUGGGAAAGAAAAGCAGCAGGUUAAUACCCCGCUGUUCUGACGGUACCCAAAGAAUAAGCACCGGCUAACUUCGUG
This 492-nucleotide ribosomal RNA is filed under the name uncultured bacterium. Its description in RNAcentral is "partial 16S ribosomal RNA". It matches the Rfam family "Bacterial small subunit ribosomal RNA", at positions 29 to 507 of the family's 1533-position model. The record is from RNAcentral.